GUGGGGAAUCUUGCGCAAUGGGCGAAAGCCUGACGCAGCAACGCCGCGUGGGGGAUGAAGGCCUUCGGGUUGUAAACCUCUUUCACCAUCGACGAAGCCCUUUGGGGUGACGGUAGGUGGGGAAGAAGCACCGGCUAACUACGUGCCAGCAGCCGCGGUAAUACGUAGGGUGCGAGCGUUGUCCGGAUUUAUUGGGCGUAAAGAGCUCGUAGGCGGUUUGUCGCGUCGGCCGUGAAAACCUACAGCUUAACUGUGGGCUUGCGGUCGAUACGGGCAGACUUGAGUUCGGCAGGGGAGACUGGAAUUCCUGGUGUAGCGGUGAAAUGCGCAGAUAUCAGGAGGAACACCGGUGGCGAAGGCGGGUCUCUGGGCCGAUACUGACGCUGAGGAGCGAAAGCGUGGGGAGCGAACAGGAUUAGAUACCCUAGUAGUCC
RNAcentral lists this ribosomal RNA (434 nucleotides) under uncultured bacterium. Its description in RNAcentral is "bacterial SSU rRNA". It matches the Rfam family "Bacterial small subunit ribosomal RNA", at positions 354 to 796 of the family's 1533-position model. The record is from RNAcentral.